RNA transcript from Alnus glutinosa, 1500 nucleotides. It is a transcript of the gene named ylmG homolog protein 1-2, chloroplastic, with no coding region annotated. The transcript is spliced from 5 exons. NCBI's taxonomy places the organism in Eukaryota, Viridiplantae, Streptophyta, Magnoliopsida, Fagales, Betulaceae. The record is from RefSeq and is a predicted model, not a curated record.
UAUAUUAUAUUAAUAUAUAUACGUAUUUUUCUCAUCAAACCCUAACCUAAGGCUUCCCUCUUUCAUAUUCGCUGCUACCGGUGCCGCCGCCUGCCGAUCUCAGUGCCGCCGCAUCCUUUUAAAGUUUCUCAAGGUUUCUAAUCUGCUGCAUUUAACUCAUUUGUGAGAAUGGCUUCACGUUUCUAGAUAUCCCAGGGUGGCAGCGACUCCAAGGAGGAAGAGAGUGCUUAGGUGUCUGUUGUAGCAGCUCAAGUGUCUUUUAGCCGAGAAGCCAAAAAGAUUUCACUUACCCAAAAUAAUCAAUGGCUCCUUUGAUGACCUCCCAAGCCAUCCUCGUCCGAAGCCCACUCCUCCUCCCACCGCCAAACCUGAAACCCAUCUUCCAUAACCCCCGAAAUCCUUUCUCUCUCCGCCUCGCCACUAAAUGUAACCCUACCCUUGUCCUCACUUCCGCUUCUGCUUCUUCCUCUCCUCUCCCCACUCUACCCCCACAAACCCCAAAAAUCCUGUCUCAGUCUGCAAUCACCCAAAUCCUCACUACCGUCUCAGGCAUAGCCUUAUUCUUCGCAACCCUCACCCACAAACUAAUCGCAAAACUCUCUCCCAAAAUCACUGAACAAGUCUGCCUACAAAGCAACUUAGUCAGCACGGUUGGGCCGCUAUUCUUUGCCGCGCUAAAGGAUCGACCCUCCGGGUACCUGAACACGCCGCUGACGGUGGUGGCGGCAGGCUUGGCCAAGUGGCUUGACAUCUACAGUGGGGUUUUGAUGGUUAGGGUUUUGCUCAGCUGGUUCCCCAACAUUCCCUGGGAGCGUCAGCCCUUAUCGGCGAUUCGGGACUUGUGCGAUCCCUAUUUGAAUCUCUUCCGGAAUAUAAUCCCACCAAUAUUCGAUACACUGGACGUAAGCCCGCUUUUGGCUUUCGCGGUGUUGGGCACUCUUGGGUCCAUUCUUAAUAGCAGUAGGGGUAUGUAUUGAAGAAGAGAGGAUUGCUGGGUUUCCUUGGUUCAUGAUUGGGGAAAAGUGAAUGUGAAGGAUUGACUUUUGGGACUGCAGAUAACUAUAUGGAUCGCUUUCAAAUGCCCAUGGGUUGCUGGAAAAUAUCUACCAUGUCUACCUAUACCAGCAAUUUCUUAAAUUGAUUCUUCAGAGUACUCGCUGUUCUCAGAGUUGAAUAGAUUGUAAGCAGCUUUCAUGAAAAUUGUCGUCUGUAUCUUCCCACAGCACAAGAAAAUCCAUAACAUUUAUGUACAUCUUGCCAGCAUACGCACGGUGAACCUAGGCAUAAAACCCCUAGUUUUUUUCCAAAGGAAACAGUUUUUCACCCCUAAGUUUGAUUGUUCUCUUUGUUGAGAAAAACUUGGAGCACUCCCCAAUGUCUUGGCCAUUUUCUCAUUUCAGUUAUACAAUAUGUAUUUUGCAUUUUUCAUCCUUUUGUGAACAGUGGCGUGUCACUGUCCACCCAUCUGUUUUCUUUAUUGAUUUCUCUCUCCCUCUUCAA